UGGGGAAUUUUGGACAAUGGGGGCAACCCUGAUCCAGCAAUGCCGCGUGAGUGAAGAAGGCCUUCGGGUUGUAAAGCUCUUUUGUCAGGGAAGAAACGGUAGUAGCGAAUAACUACUACUAAUGACGGUACCUGAAGAAUAAGCACCGGCUAACUACGUGCCAGCAGCCGCGGUAAUACGUAGGGUGCAAGCGUUAAUCGGAAUUACUGGGCGUAAAGCGUGCGCAGGCGGUUGUGUAAGUCAGAUGUGAAAUCCCCGGGCUCAACCUGGGAAUUGCAUUUGAGACUGCACGGCUAGAGUGUGUCAGAGGGGGGUAGAAUUCCACGUGUAGCAGUGAAAUGCGUAGAUAUGUGGAGGAAUACCGAUGGCGAAGGCAGCCCCCUGGGAUAACACUGACGCUCAUGCACGAAAGCGUGGGGAGCAAACAGGAUUAGAUACCCCGGUAG
RNAcentral lists this ribosomal RNA (446 nucleotides) under uncultured bacterium. RNAcentral's name for it is "bacterial SSU rRNA". It matches the Rfam family "Bacterial small subunit ribosomal RNA", at positions 355 to 793 of the family's 1533-position model. The record is from RNAcentral.